Molecule: ribosomal RNA, 274 nt
Filed under: uncultured bacterium
Lineage: Bacteria
Description: partial 16S ribosomal RNA
Rfam family: Bacterial small subunit ribosomal RNA
Source: RNAcentral
CUACGGAGGGUGCAAGCGUUAAUCGGAAUUACUGGGCGUAAAGCGUACGUAGGCGGUCCGUUAAGUUAGAUGUGAAAGCCCCGGGCGUAACCUGGGAACUGCAUUUAAAACUGGCGAACUAGAGUUGAGUAGAGGGGAGUGGAAUUUCAGGUGUAGCGGUGAAAUGCGUAGAGAUCUGAAGGAACACCAGUGGCGAAGGCGACUCCCUGGACUCGAACUGACGCUGAGGUACGAAAGCGUGGGUAGCAAACGGGAUUAGAAACCCUAGUAGUCC